ACGCUCGACACCUACGGGGGGCAGCAGUGGGGAAUAUUGCACAAUGGGGGAAACCCUGAUGCAGCGACGCCGCGUGGGUGAAGAAGUAUUUCGGUAUGUAAAGCCCUNUCAGCAGGGAAGAAGAUGACAGUACCUGACUAAGAAGCCCCGGCUAACUACGUGCCUGCAGCCGCGGUAAUCUGAGCGGGCUGGCAAGGC
RNAcentral lists this ribosomal RNA (198 nucleotides) under uncultured bacterium. RNAcentral describes it as "partial 16S ribosomal RNA". It matches the Rfam family "Bacterial small subunit ribosomal RNA", at positions 328 to 539 of the family's 1533-position model. The record is from RNAcentral.